RNAcentral lists this ribosomal RNA (194 nucleotides) under uncultured Pseudomonas sp. Its description in RNAcentral is "partial 16S ribosomal RNA". It matches the Rfam family "Bacterial small subunit ribosomal RNA", at positions 338 to 524 of the family's 1533-position model. Lineage: Bacteria; Pseudomonadati; Pseudomonadota; Gammaproteobacteria; Pseudomonadales; Pseudomonadaceae. The record is from RNAcentral.
CCUACGGGAGGCAGCAGUGGGGAAUAUUGGACAAUGGGCGAAAGCCUGAUCCAGCCAUGCCGCGUGUGUGAAGAAGGUCUUCGGAUUGUAAAGCACUUUAAGUUGGGAGGAAGGGCAUUAAGCUAAUACCUUACUGUUUUGACGUUACCGACAGAAUAAGCACCGGCUAACUUCGUGCCAGCAGCCGCGGUAAU